This 30-nucleotide non-coding RNA is filed under the name Homo sapiens (human). The record is from RNAcentral. Lineage: Eukaryota; Metazoa; Chordata; Mammalia; Primates; Hominidae.
AGGACCAUUCUGGCUUUUGUCUCUGGCAUC